Molecule: ribosomal RNA, 253 nt
Filed under: uncultured bacterium
Lineage: Bacteria
Description: partial 16S ribosomal RNA
Rfam family: Bacterial small subunit ribosomal RNA
Source: RNAcentral
UACGUAGGGGGCGAGCGUUGUCCGGAUUUAUUGGGCGUAAAGAGCGCGUAGGCGGCAUAUCAAGUCGUGCGUGAAAUACUCUGGCUCAACUGGAGUAGGUCGUGCGAAACUGAUAGGCUUGAGGUCGGGAGGGGAAAGUGAAAUUCCCGGUGUAGUGGUGGAAUGCGUAGAUAUCGGGAGGAACACCGGUGGCGAAGGCGGCUUUCUGGACCGAAACUGACGCUGAGGCGCGAAAGCGUGGGGAGCGAACUGG